AAUGAUUAAUAGGGAUAGUUGGGGGCAUUGGUAUUGAGUCNCUAGCAGGUAGAAAUUCUUGGAUUGACAUGCAAGUACCAACUAGUCUCGCGAANGCACUCUUGCCAAGGGAUGUUUUACAUUACAUCAAGAACAAAGGUUAGGGGAUCGAAAACGAUCUGUACCUUUGUAGUCAGAACGGUUAACUAUGCCGACUAGGGAUUGGGCAACCUCAAUUAUGAUGUGUUGCUCAGCANCUUACNAGAAUCUAGGUCUUUGGGUUCUGGGGGGAGUAUGGUCGCAAGGCUGUAAACUUAACMGAAUUGWYKGMMGGGCACCACCWRGUGUGGAGCCUGSGGCUUAAUUUGACUCAACACGGGAAACUCACCAGGUCCAGACAUAACUAGGAUUGACAGAUUGAUAGCUCUUUCAUGAUUUUAUGGGUGGUGGUGCAUGGCCGUUCUUAGUUGGUGGAGUGAUUUGUCUGGUUAAUUCCGAUAACGAACGAGACCUUAACCUGCUAAAUAGCCAGGCCGGCUUUUGCUGGUCGCCGGCUUCUUAGAGGGACUGUCAGCGUCUAGCUGACGGAAGUUUGAGGCAAUAACAGGUCUGUGAUGCCCUUAGAUGUUNUGGGCCGCACGCGCGCUACACUGACAGAGCCAGCGAGUUAUUUCACCUAGGCCGAUUUUCUUUUAUCAUGAAAGGCC
Molecule: ribosomal RNA, 686 nt
Filed under: uncultured Cortinariaceae
Lineage: Eukaryota; Fungi; Basidiomycota; Agaricomycetes; Agaricales; Cortinariaceae
Description: partial 18S ribosomal RNA
Rfam family: Eukaryotic small subunit ribosomal RNA
Source: RNAcentral